This 581-nucleotide ribosomal RNA is filed under the name uncultured Enterobacter sp. Its description in RNAcentral is "bacterial SSU rRNA". It matches the Rfam family "Bacterial small subunit ribosomal RNA", at positions 102 to 679 of the family's 1533-position model. Lineage: Bacteria; Pseudomonadati; Pseudomonadota; Gammaproteobacteria; Enterobacterales; Enterobacteriaceae. The record is from RNAcentral.
ACGGGUGAGUAAUGUCUGGGAAACUGCCUGAUGGAGGGGGAUAACUACUGGAAACGGUAGCUAAUACCGCAUAACGUCGCAAGACCAAAGAGGGGGACCUUCGGGCCUCUUGCCAUCAGAUGUGCCCAGAUGGGAUUAGCUAGUAGGUGGGGUAACGGCUCACCUAGGCGACGAUCCCUAGCUGGUCUGAGAGGAUGACCAGCCACACUGGAACUGAGACACGGUCCAGACUCCUACGGGAGGCAGCAGUGGGGAAUAUUGCACAAUGGGCGCAAGCCUGAUGCAGCCAUGCCGCGUGUAUGAAGAAGGCCUUCGGGUUGUAAAGUACUUUCAGCGGGGAGGAAGGUGCUGAGGUUAAUAACCUCAGCAAUUGACGUUACCCGCAGAAGAAGCACCGGCUAACUCCGUGCCAGCAGCCGCGGUAAUACGGAGGGUGCAAGCGUUAAUCGGAAUUACUGGGCGUAAAGCGCACGCAGGCGGUCUGUCAAGUCGGAUGUGAAAUCCCCGGGCUCAACCUGGGAACUGCAUUCGAAACUGGCAGGCUAGAGCCUUGUAGAGGGGGGUAGAAUUCCAGGUGUAGC